AGGCUUAGAAAUGGGCGCAGAGUCAGCCAAUCAAGGGCGGGAAAACUCGGAGGGUUGAAAAUGGGGCGCAUGCGCAAUAGCAGAAGCAGCGGGCGGGUCCAGGCUCAGCCGCCAGCCAGGCUGCACCCGGUUGUGGCAGCCACGGGCAGGGGCGGAGCCCGCCGUAUAUGGGAGCUGCUUGGGGACAAACUGUGUAGGGUGCGCUCUCGGGCGGGCAGGGCUACAACACCCUACCAGCUGUAGAGUCGCUGAGAGCAACCAAGACAACCAAGAACAGCAGCCUACACAUGUUCAUAAUCCUCUGAUUCCAACACCACCUUGCGAUUUGACACAACCGACAAAGUGCUGCGGCCCACGGAACAGGAACAGCAAGCCUGCGGAUUUUAAACUAGAAGCAGCGAGGUUUCUCGCCAGAGAAAUGACUAACAGCCACCCCUUGAUUAAUUUACUCUCUGCACCAAGAAAAAUGAAUAAACAGGAAGGUUUUAAAGGGC
Molecule: long non-coding RNA, 494 nt
Filed under: Mus spretus (western wild mouse)
Lineage: Eukaryota; Metazoa; Chordata; Mammalia; Rodentia; Muridae
Description: lncRNA (ENSMSPG00010027672.1)
Source: RNAcentral